This 253-nucleotide ribosomal RNA is filed under the name uncultured bacterium. RNAcentral describes it as "partial 16S ribosomal RNA". It matches the Rfam family "Bacterial small subunit ribosomal RNA", at positions 524 to 776 of the family's 1533-position model. The record is from RNAcentral.
UACGUAGGGGGCGAGCGUUGUCCGGAAUCAUUGGGCGUAAAGCGCGUGUAGGCGGCCCGAUAAGUCCGCUGUGAAAGUCCAGGGCUCAACCCUGGGAUGCCGGUGGAUACUGUCGGGCUCGAGUCCGGAAGAGGAGUGUGGAAUUCCUGGUGUAGCGGUGAAAUGCGCAGAUAUCAGGAGGAACACCAACGGCGAAGGCAGCACUCUGGGACGUGACUGACGCUGAGACGCGAAAGCGUGGGGAGCAAACAGG